RNAcentral lists this ribosomal RNA (354 nucleotides) under uncultured eukaryote. RNAcentral's name for it is "partial small subunit ribosomal RNA". The record is from RNAcentral.
UUCAUGUCCGCUUCGAAUUUGAGACUGUUGUCGGACUCUGCGCUGGCGAUAUCAACGAUGAUCUCUCCUAGAUAAGACGUGGUGACUACUGAAUGCGAUGUGCUAGGUCCGAUGAAGCCUUGGCUCGGGUCAUAGCUGUGGGUGUUGCUCUCAUACUCUACGAUGAUCCAUGAGAGAAGCUCAGUCUUGCAGUUCUCGGCGAUGAGGUAGAACUCUAUGCGGCUUCCCCAGAACACGCUGGUGUGGACGUUGAAGGCGCUAAUGAUGGCGCAGGGUCGUUUGGGGGUAUCGCUGAACAUCGCCGAAGGAUACAAGCUGUAGUUCGGUGGCAACACUCUUUCAGCUGCUUCUGGG